Molecule: long non-coding RNA, 210 nt
Filed under: Mytilus galloprovincialis (Mediterranean mussel)
Lineage: Eukaryota; Metazoa; Mollusca; Bivalvia; Mytilida; Mytilidae
Source: RNAcentral
CGUGACUCUGUACUUAUGUAUCCCGUCAUACUUUGAACCACACUAUUAUUUUAUUUAUUAUUAUUACUUUUACUGUUAAGUCAGUUUUUGUUAUAUCUAUUUUAAGGGACUGUAUUUAUGUAUCCCGUCAUACUUUGAACGACAAAAUUAUUUCAUGUCUACCUGUGCGAAUUUCAAACGCGCAAUUUUACACCAGUACUUAAAACCCUC